ACCAAAUAUAACACAAUAACAAAUCAAAUUAAACGUCAACUCAAACGCAAUGACACAAGAUAUUAACUGGUCAACUGAUACAAUAAACUUACUUUACCACUAGAACGAUAUGGAAUGAUAAUAUCAAUAACAAGGAAGCGUUUGAUUGCUUGAAAUGAAAUAUAUAUAUAUAAAAAAAAACUACGGAACAUAUUUUGAGUUAAGACUGGUAGGACCGUAUUAUAUAAAUUACGGAAAACUGAAUAUUGUAAAGAAUAAAAUUGAUAAGAUUAUACCAAAAAUUAAUAAAAUGAUGAUACAGCUGUAGAGUCGAGAUAUUAUCUCUUUCUUUAACUCAAAAUACGUCCCAUAGUGCGACGGUUCGAUAAUGUAAUGAGUCCCAUGAUAUAACUACAAAAAUCUUCUGAUUUGCGUCACUCUAUCAGAAACCUGACGAAACUAGUUUUGUGUAUACUAUCAUACUCAAAAAAUAAAAGAAGAGAAGACGCACAGAAAAAUAAAGAAUCAAAUAUUCAAGUGGGAGAAAUGUAUUUGCUAUAUUUGCUCGUAUAAAUGUUUCUGCAAAGAAUGACUUAAGCUCCCUUUUGUAACCAACAAAACAGGUCCAACGUAAGCCAUAAAUGGAGCAUUGAAUCAAAUCAAAUGUCAUAAAGAGAAAUUGAUUCUUUGUAACUAUUUUGAUAACGUGCAUUCAAGAAAAAGAUAUUGUAAGUUUAACUAGGUUAAACAACAAUAAUCUUUUUAAUGGGUUUAAAUCUUUUAUAUUUAAAUAAAUAUAAGAUAAUCAUAAAAUAAGUUAUUAGACAUAAUGUCCAACUAACAAAUUUUAAUUUAACCCCAAAUAUAUAAAGUGAGACAUUUGCUAAUUUCAUAUUUAGCCAAAUUCAAAAUUUUACAAGCUUUGUAAAACACUCUCGUUACACCUCCAUUUCUUAUUCAAAACAACUCCAAUUUUGACCAACAAAUACACUAUCUCAUAGUGCUCACGGUGACGAUUACAUCGUGCCCAAGUUCCGGUUAUUCCGACAGACGUCUCCAUCGAAAAACCCAUCGGAAAAUUGGUCCACGCCACUUUGUCAAAAAACGAGUUCCAACAGUGAUGAGUAGUGAGCUAAUAUGAUUUUGUGUUCCUUGUAAUGCUCUCAGUGGAUUCCUGAGCUCAGGCAUUAAGCUCCUGGUGUUCCUUUUAUCCUCGUCGGCACACAACUCGGUGAUCAAACUCUUUCCUUCUUUAAACUUAGCUUAGCUAUUGUUUUAACUAUAUAUGUUCUUUGAUUUUUAAGUUAUUCUUACAUGAUUUUGAAUGGUCAUGGGAGAUUAUUGAUAUUUUUUUGGUAUUUACAGACCUUCGAGAUGACAAACAAUUCUUCAUAGAUCAUCCUGGUGCAGUGCCAAUUACUACACACCAGGUAUUGUCUUCAGAACGCAUAGUUCCACCAUGAGUGCCAUGUUCUUGUUGAAAACAAAAGGGUCUACAUUGGGCAAGGAUAGGAACUGAAGAAACUGAUUGGAUCUGCGAUCUACAUUGAAUGUAAUUCCAAGACACAUCAGAAUGUGAAGGCAGUGUUUGAUGCAGCCAUAAAAGUGGUGCUUCAGCCACCAAAGCAGAAGAAGAAAAGAAACAAGAACCGUUGCGUGUUCUUGUGAUAAAUGAAAAUCUCUAAAGACUAGGAGGUAAACGAAAGGAAGAAGAAGAAGAUCUCGACUAUUUAAUUCGUCCCCACUUUAAUAUGACAAUUCCAACGUGAAGGGAGACAUUCCGAGUAGCUUUUUGUGUAGUUGCUAAAACAAAUUGUGUUGUUGUGUCUUUUACUCUUUGCUGGUGAAUCCUUUUGAGUUCA
Brassica napus (rape) is the source of this 1841-nucleotide long non-coding RNA. RefSeq lists it as uncharacterized. The record is from RefSeq and is a predicted model, not a curated record. NCBI's taxonomy places the organism in Eukaryota, Viridiplantae, Streptophyta, Magnoliopsida, Brassicales, Brassicaceae. The transcript is spliced from 2 exons.